RNAcentral lists this ribosomal RNA (1389 nucleotides) under Aurantiochytrium sp. Its description in RNAcentral is "SSU rRNA". It matches the Rfam family "Eukaryotic small subunit ribosomal RNA", at positions 20 to 1470 of the family's 1831-position model. The record is from RNAcentral. Lineage: Eukaryota; Bigyra; Thraustochytrida; Thraustochytriidae.
GUAGUCAUAUGCUUGUCUCAAAGAUUAAGCCAUGCAUGUGUAAGUAUAAGCGAUUGUACUGUGAGACUGCGAACGGCUCAUUAUAUCAGUAAUAAUUUCUUCGGUAGUUUCUUUUAUAUGGAUACCUGCAGUAAUUCUGGAAAUAAUACAUGCUGUAAGAGCCCUGUAUGGGGCUGCACUUAUUAGAUUGAAGCCGAUUUUAUUGGUGAAUCAUGAUAAUUGAGCAGAUUGACUAUUUUUGGUCGAUGAAUCGUUUGAGUUUCUGCCCCAUCAGUUGUCGACGGUAGUGUAUUGGACUACGGUGACUAUAACGGGUGACGGAGAGUUAGGGCUCGACUCCGGAGAGGGAGCCUGAGAGACGGCUACCAUAUCCAAGGAUAGCAGCAGGCGCGUAAAUUACCCACUGUGGACUCCACGAGGUAGUGACGAGAAAUAUCGAUGCGAAGCGUGUAUGCGUUUUGCUAUCGGAAUGAGAGCAAUGUAAAACCCUCAUCGAGGAUCAACUGGAGGGCAAGUCUGGUGCCAGCAGCCGCGGUAAUUCCAGCUCCAGAAGCAUAUGCUAAAGUUGUUGCAGUUAAAAAGCUCGUAGUUGAAUUUCUGGCAUGGGCGACCGGUGCUUUCCCUGAAUGGGGAUUGAUUGUCUGUGUUGCCUUGGCCAUCUUUUUCUUUUCUUUAUAGGGGAGAAAUCUUUCACUGUAAUCAAAGCAGAGUGUUCCAAGCAGGUCGUAUGACCGGUAUGUUUAUUAUGGGAUGAUAAGAUAGGACUUGGGUGCUAUUUUGUUGGUUUGCACGCCUGAGUAAUGGUUAAUAGGAACAGUUGGGGGUAUUCGUAUUUAGGAGCUAGAGGUGAAAUUCUUGGAUUUCCGAAAGACGAACUAGAGCGAAGGCAUUUACCUAGCAUGUUUUCAUUAAUCAAGAACGAAAGUCUGGGGAUCGAAGAUGAUUAGAUACCAUCGUAGUCUAGACCGUAAACGAUGCCGACUUGCGAUUGUUGGGUGCUUUAUUAAUGGGCCUCAGCAGCAGCACAUGAGAAAUCAAAGUCUUUGGGUUCCGGGGGGAGUAUGGUCGCAAGGCUGAAACUUAAAGGAAUUGACGGAAGGGCACCACCAGGAGUGGAGCCUGCGGCUUAAUUUGACUCAACACGGGAAAACUUACCAGGUCCAGACAUAGGUAGGAUUGACAGAUUGAGAGCUCUUUCAUGAUUCUAUGGGUGGUGGUGCAUGGCCGUUCUUAGUUGGUGGAGUGAUUUGUCUGGUUAAUUCCGUUAACGAACGAGACCUCGGCCUACUAAAUAGUGCGUGGUAUGGCAACGUAGUGCGUUUUUACUUCUUAGAGGGACAUGUCCGGUUUACGGGCAGGAAGUUCGAGGCAAUAACAGGUCUGUGAUGC